This 299-nucleotide unclassified non-coding RNA is filed under the name fungal sp. Its description in RNAcentral is "partial internal transcribed spacer region". The stretch from base 1 to 46 matches the Rfam family "Eukaryotic small subunit ribosomal RNA", at positions 1786 to 1831 of the family's 1831-position model. Lineage: Eukaryota; Fungi. The record is from RNAcentral.
AAGUCGUAACAAGGUCUCCGUAGGUGAACCUGCGGAAGGAUCAUUUGUGAAAAUUUAAUGUUUUUUUUGAAGAGGGGUAAAAUCCUUUUUAGAAAAACAUAAAAAAAAGAGAUUUCUUGUGGUUUAUAAAUGAUUUUUAAAAAAAUUGUUUGUUGUUGAAAAAUGACAAACAAUUAUAUUUUUAAAAUCAAUUUUUUUAUAAAAAACUAUUUUAAACAUGUAUUUAAAAAAUUAACAGUUUUAAAAAAAUAAAAUUAAAAAAAAAAUUAAAACUGUCAACGGUGGAUCUCUUGGCUCGU